Molecule: ribosomal RNA, 428 nt
Filed under: uncultured bacterium
Lineage: Bacteria
Description: partial 16S ribosomal RNA
Rfam family: Bacterial small subunit ribosomal RNA
Source: RNAcentral
GUGGGGAAUAUUGGGCAAUGGGCGAAAGCCUGACCCAGCAACGCCGCGUGAAGGAAGAAGGUCUUCGGAUUGUAAACUUCUUUGAUCAGGGACGAAAGAAAUGACGGUACCUGAAGAACAAGCCACGGCUAACUACGUGCCAGCAGCCGCGGUAAUACGUAGGUGGCAAGCGUUAUCCGGAUUUACUGGGUGUAAAGGGCGUGUAGGCGGUUCUGCAAGUCAGAUGUGAAAUUCCCGGGCUUAACCCGGGCGCUGCAUCUGAAACUGCAGAACUUGAGUACUGGAGAGGAUAGUGGAAUUCCUAGUGUAGCGGUAAAAUGCGUAGAUAUUAGGAGGAACACCAGUGGCGAAGGCGGCUAUCUGGACAGUAACUGACGCUGAGGCGCGAAAGCGUGGGGAGCAAACAGGAUUAGAAACCCGAGUAGUCC